Equus caballus (horse) is the source of this 2871-nucleotide long non-coding RNA. The record is from Ensembl. NCBI's taxonomy places the organism in Eukaryota, Metazoa, Chordata, Mammalia, Perissodactyla, Equidae.
GGAGUCAUUUUCAGAAAUCUGAAACUAUGUGUUCUGCAUGUAUUUGUGGAAAGAACAAUGACUUACCAACUGUCCAGAACAAAUUCCCAGACAGAAAACUCGGAAAGGCUGGCUACUGACUUCUUGUCCUUUAUUAAGAGUCACUUACGGGAACAGAAACCGCCCUCCCCCCCUUUUUUUUUAAAUAGGUGUUUUGUUUAGGUCUUCAUAGCCGUUGACUGACCAGUCAGUUCAGCCCAGUGCAGGGUCAGCACCUGGCAGGUCCAGUGAAACUCUAGAACCCACGUGCACGUUUACAAAUGGACCAGAAGAGAGCCACACUCCUCCUUAAGCUUCCUUUGCCCUGGUCCCCAAAAGCAGAAGGAUGCUGUGGGUCUGCAGCUCUAAUGUGGACCACUUGCAAUUCCCAAAGGAUGCUUUUGGGGGUGCUACAAAUUGUGAUUUAAAAGUACAUCUCUGCAGGAACCCCUCAGCUAAGAGAGAUCUGGGGCCCUGUGUAAUUGUUUACAUCUGCAAGUAUUUUCCUGUGUGAUGAAACUAAUGUAUGUGUUUGGGGGUAAAUGCAGUAGGAACUAUAAUCACCAACUUCUUAUUCAAAGUAUUUUUCUAGCUAUUUAACAAUUUUGGCAUUUUUGAAAUAAUUAAAUAGGGUGUGCGGAUUGCUAAUGCGUUCCUUCCCAGGGGUUCCUCCUUUUCAAAGGGGUCUGGCAGAUUUAGGUCAUAUGUUUUCUUUUUUUUGUGCUGAAAGGGAAAAUAAAGAAAAGAAAUAGAGAAUUCCCAGUAAAUCUUUUCUAAUUCUUCUACAUUAGUUCAGACCAGCAGAGGUUUGCUCUGCCUGCAGCUAUAGAAAAUCUAUUAGCGUCUUUAAGGACGAGAGUGAGGAAGGGAGGUCCCGCGGAUGGGGUCAGCGGAAGACAGCGCCCGCUGGGAGUGUCAGCUCUCAGCACCAUUAGCUGGACUGUCACAGAGGCACCGCUGGACGGGCCUGGCCUGCGGUACAGCUUGCCUUUAACACAAGAUCAGUGCUUCAUUUCCCCUGGAUUUCUUUGCUCUGAGAAAACUUCUUGGAGGUGAUACCUCCCAACUAAACUCAGACUCAAGCAGAGCCAUGUGGAGAAAAGGGCCCAGCCUUGAGCUCAGGCAGAAUCGCAUCCUGCUCCUGGCUCUGCCCCUUGCUAGCUGUGGCACUUUGGGCAAAUCUCGUAGCUUCUCUGAGCCUCACUUCCCUUAUUGUAACAUGGAAUCAUCAGCUGUCUCUGGUGCGGUUGUUGUGAGGGUUAAAUGAGAGCAUAGAGGACCUGGCCUGGAGGAGACGCUGGAUACACGCUGCUCUCCCCAGGAUUAUUAUUGGGGAGCUUGUCAAUCCAUCGGCAUAAGCAUACUGUCAACAGCAAAUCCACGGGCAUCUCUUGUAAUGAUGGCUGACCUUUCCACAGAGCUUUCACGUCCGAUCCCUCACUGAAUUCCCUCAAUGACUCCGUGAGGUAUGAGGCCUCCAGUUUGCCGUGGAAAAAGUUGAGACCCUGAUUGGUGAACUGGGCGCAAGAGGUCAUCCCGCCCACAAGGCCAGAGGGGAUAGACCCACGAUCCGCUAGAGGAUUUGCAGGGCCCAGUGCCGAAGGAAAAUGGGGCCCUGUUCCAAAAUAAUCGUGAAGAACUUCAAGACGGCGACAGCAGAGCGUUCAACCCAGGGCAGGGCCCUUCUGAGCGUCGGCCUGUGCGACUGCACGGGGCCGUCGCCCGUGAAGCUGGCUAGACUAAGUUCGCAGAGCCCACGUCCUCAUCUUGACCCCAAGCCCAUGGCCUCUCAGCCCGCUCCCUGGUGCUGUGGGGGAGCCUCGUCACCAUGGACCAGCAGAUCUCUGGGGGGAAGGGUCCAGGACCACCCCCAGCCCCUCAGGGCUUCUUUUCCAGCGCUCUGUGGAGAGGCCUGCUCCUGAGAGUUCUGAUCCCCAGGGGAGUUGACUGGACUCUGCCUGUUCAUGACCUUCCCCCAGAGCCUCAGUGACGCGUCCCCGGCAAUACCUUCCCUUCCUUCCUGAGGCCCUUCAAAUGUCUGAAGAGGCCUCUUCCAUCUCCCACUAGUGUUUCUUCUGCAGGCCACAUAGCUGCCUUUCUCUCUUAAAAUGCGGGGUCUGAGGCUGAAUACAGCUCUCUAGAUGUGGUCAAAGUGGAGGGGGAUUGUUUCCGACUCAUCCAGAUCACAUUGAUCACCCACCGUGCGCACAGCACUCUUCCAAGGAGCGCAGAAACGAACUCGAGAAACGGUCCUUAGCUGGAAGGCGGGGCGGGGAAGACCCGGGUGUGCGGUGGCCCCAGCGCGGGCGGCACGGAAAGCGAGCAGGGAACUGUGGACCAGGCGGGCGCAGAGGGCUUGGGAACGAGCGGGGGGAGCCGGGUCUCCAGGGCGGAGGAGCUCAUGGGGGCGGAGCCUUCCAGACAGCGAACACCCAGGGAGAAACGCAGAGCCGUAACUGGCUUGGGGCGUGGUUGAAGGAAGGGGGAGGGAUGUGGGGGGUGGCCUGUGUGAGCAUAGUAGAGGCUAGACCAGGCUGUGGAACCGCAACCCUAGAGCUGGCUGCGCAGCAGGACCCCCAGGGGCUGUGAAAGCUUUCCAGUGCCUGUGCUCUGUCUGAUCACUGAGAUCAACUCUCGGGGGCGCGCCAAGGUUUGGGAAGCUCCCCAGUGCCUCUAAUGAACAGCCACGGAGAGAAGCAGUGGUGCAGGGCAGGGGGCCUCAAGGUGUGGCCUCUGGACCAGCAGCGUCAGCGUCCUCUGGGAACCUGCUAGAAAUGCCAGCUCUCAGGCCCACCUCAGACCCGGCCAUCAGAGACUCUGGGAGUGGGCCCAGCAGGCCGGGUGUUAACAACC